This 1693-nucleotide long non-coding RNA is filed under the name Macaca fascicularis (crab-eating macaque). RNAcentral's name for it is "lncRNA (ENSMFAG00000063083.1)". The record is from RNAcentral. Lineage: Eukaryota; Metazoa; Chordata; Mammalia; Primates; Cercopithecidae.
GCUGAGGAUUGAGGGCCGUGUCAAGCUUGAGCUCUUUCGUCAUUGCUAGAAAUGGACGUUUAGUUAUCGAAGCCUGCUGACGAGGGGAGCCAACAAGAGAGGGAUGUCGGCAUCGGGUCCGGUUUCAGCUGUGUGCAGCCUCCAAGCUUCAAGCACAAAGGAUCACUCAGUGGCUGAAGAGCAGGAGCCCCAAGCACCUUGCUAGUUUAUUGGAGUGCUCGGUAAUCUUCCUUCAGCUCGAGCAACGGGCUCCUCAACAAGUAUCAGGUGAGUCUUCUUCAGUUUCCUGGUUGGCCACUUCGUUCUUUUGCUUCCAUUUUACCUUUUGUUCCAAAUUUUUUGUCUGAAGAGUUAUCCUUUCUGGCAGCCUUUUGUGGCUUAACUUCCACUUUUGCAGGAACAGAUUACUUCUGGCCAUCAAAUGUGUGAGGUUUUGGAGCAUCCUACAACUCAAUUGACUUCAGAAACUGUCUACUUAGAUUUGGUGCGGACCCCACAGGUUAAGUGCUCAGUCCCACAGGAAUGCUCCCCUACUUCAGAUGCCAGAGGCACGUCCGGACUGUCACCUGUGCUUCCAAGCUUCUGCCUGUAAAUCAGAAGUUGCCUCUAUCCCCUCCUCAAGUUUGCAAAUUUGCUAGAGUAGCUCACAGAACUACUAGAGUACCUGUUUACUGUAAAAGGAUCCGACAGCCAGAUGGAGAUGCACACAGCAGCACAUGGGGAAAGGGUCAAGGAGCUUCCGCGCCUUCUUCAGGUGAGCCCCCUCCACAUGUUCACCCACCUGAAAGCUCUCAGAACCCCAUUUUUUUUACUUUUGAUGAAGGCAUCCGUACACACACGUGAUCAAGUCAUUGGCCGUUGGUGAUGCACUCAACUCUCAGCCCCUCUCUACUCCCAGGACUGGUCGGUGGGCUAAAAAUUCCAAACCUCUCAUCGCCUGGCUGGUUCCCCUGGAGACCUGCCCCCAUCCUGAGGCAAUCCAGGAGCCCCCAGUCACCAGUCACUUCAUUAAUAUACAAAAGACUUUGAUCACUCUGGGAUUCCAGGGCUUUAGGAGCUGUGUGCCAGGAAAUGGGGGCAGAGAGUAAGUAUAGUCGUUCAGUGCACAGGAUGUUUACGUCAAGGCUGGGCAUAGUGGCUCAUGUCUAUAAUCCCAACACUUUGGGAGGCCGAAGUGGGUGAAUUGCUUGAGGCCAGGAGUUCAAGACCAUCUUAGGCAACACAGUGAAACCUUGUCUCUACAAAAAAUACAAAAAUUAGUUGGGUGUGGUGGUGAGCGCCUGUAGUCCCAGCUACUCAGGAGACUGAGGUAGGAGGAUCACUUGAACCCCAAAGGCAGAGGUUGCAGUGAGCCAAGAUUGCACCACUACACUCCAGCCUGGGUAAUGGAGCAAGACCUCUCAAAAGAAAAGGAUGUUUAGUUCAACAACGGACCACAUACACCAUAGUGAUCCUGAGACAGCCAGGUGGGAGGGGGUCCCUGGAGAAACUCCAAUCAGCCUACGCACUGGGCUGGAGCCCCACAAAGUUUGCUCCCUUUGCAGUGGGGAGGAGCCUGGCCCCUCCUCUUCCUGUGUGGAACCUGGGAUUCAAGCCGCAAGCGGGAAGUGCGCUAGCCUAGGGAUUCUGGCCUAGGGAGAGUCCCGUUUCCCCUUUCCUUCCUUUUCAUCCAAUAAAACCCGUCUUACUCACC